Molecule: long non-coding RNA, 1350 nt
Filed under: Sarcophilus harrisii (Tasmanian devil)
Lineage: Eukaryota; Metazoa; Chordata; Mammalia; Dasyuromorphia; Dasyuridae
Description: lncRNA (ENSSHAG00000028403.1)
Source: RNAcentral
GGGUCAGGACGGGGCUCUGUGGCAGAGCCGGACCCGGAGAGGGGGCUCCAGGGCCCCCGAGAGGCGGGAGGGGGGCCACGGGGGGGCACCGUGCAGUGCCCGGCCGGGGGGCAGGGCCCGGGACCAGCCGAACAGGGACUAGGGCCCGAGCAGCGGGUGGGCCGCCAGCCGCCCUCCUCCGGCUGUCCCGGGUCCCUGCAGCCGAAGCCGCUGAAGCCCGAGGGGCUCCCUCCGCCCACCUCCCUUCCAAGGCUAGCGCUGACCCCCUCCUCUGCCCCCCCCCCCCGCUUCCCGCACUGCUCCCCGCCGCCCAGUCCCAGGCACCCCCCCCCUCCCCCGGGCCGGACGGCUCCCUGGGGGCUCUUCCCGGGCUGCAGAUCUGAUGGGACCUGCCCCUCCCCCAUAAAUCGCUCUUUCUCUGCUGUCACUCCUCGCUCCGAGGGAGAACGGGAGGCGGGGCCUUCCCCAGCCCGACCCCGCGGGGCGGCUGAACUCUGCCCACAGAGGGCGCUCCGGUCUCCCCAGCCUCAGGUUCUCCUUCGGGAAAAACCUGGGCAGUUUCCGGCGAGCCCAAGUCCCGCUUCCCCAACGCCCCCUAUAAUAACGUGGGGGAGGGGAAGGGGGAGGGGCCAGACCAAACCGGGGCGGGGUGGAGGACCAGGCCUGAAGCGAGGACAAGCGGACGGAGCCGCCGGGCCUGGGAGAAGCAGAGUGACCCUGGGGGCCCGGCCCGGCCUUUCCCCCCACCGCCCCCGCCGGACGCCGGCGCGCCCCGCAGGUGCUCCCCGUGCGGAGCCCGGCUUCUCACUGACCUGCAGCAGCAGCCCGGGCCGCCACAGCGGCCGCCGCCAUCUUCCCGAGCGCCUACGGAGGCCACUUAGGACCAAAAUACCCGGGGCGAGGGGCGGAGCGGGGCAGGGCAGGGGAGGGGCGGGGGCGGGGCCUGCGCUGCAGGUGGGAAGGGAGAGUAGCGGGGGAGGGGAGGAGAGCGGCCCCCGGUCUGACCCAGGGGGGAGCCUUCCUGCCUCCGGGACGCCCGUCAGUGGAUCUCGGAGACGCUGGGUCCUUCCCGGGCCCGGAGCGCAUGGCCGCCCUCGGCCCUUCGAGCGCUUGGGGUCCCGAUGGGGGACGCGCCGCGGCCAGACCCGGCCUUUGCGCGGGCUGUCGGGGCUGCCGUGCUCCCUCCUGGCGCGAGGCUCCCGGAGCGGGCUCCGGCCCCGUUGCGCAUCCGAGGCUCGGAGGGAGCACCCGGCGCGAGGCUCCUGGGCCCGGGAAGAAGGAGCUGAGGGGCAGGGCCGCGACCCCGGGAACAGCGAGCAGUCUGUAGAUUUUUGCAGUAGUUGUAGAUAA